GGCCGCAGCUUACCAUGCAGUCGAGCGGUAACAGGGGGUGCUUGCACCCCGCUGACGAGCGGCGGACGGGUGAGUAAUGCAUAGGAAUCUGCCCAGUAGUGGGGGAUAGCCCGGGGAAACCCGGAUUAAUACCGCAUACGCCCUUUGGGGGAAAGCAGGGGAUCUUCGGACCUUGCGCUAUUGGAUGAGCCUAUGUCGGAUUAGCUAGUUGGUGGGGUAAAGGCCUACCAAGGCGACGAUCCGUAGCUGGUCUGAGAGGAUGAUCAGCCACAUCGGGACUGAGACACGGCCCGAACUCCUACGGGAGGCAGCAGUGGGGAAUAUUGGACAAUGGGGGCAACCCUGAUCCAGCCAUGCCGCGUGUGUGAAGAAGGCUUUCGGGUUGUAAAGCACUUUCAGUGAGGAGGAAAACCUUCUGGUUAAUACCCAUGAGGCUUGACGUUACUCACAGAAGAAGCACCGGCUAACUCCGUGCCAGCAGCCGCGGUAAUACGGAGGGUGCAAGCGUUAAUCGGAAUUACUGGGCGUAAAGCGCGCGUAGGUGGUUUGAUAAGCGAGAUGUGAAAGCCCCGGGCUUAACCUGGGAACGGCAUUUCGAACUGUCA
Molecule: ribosomal RNA, 605 nt
Filed under: Marinobacter sp.
Lineage: Bacteria; Pseudomonadati; Pseudomonadota; Gammaproteobacteria; Pseudomonadales; Marinobacteraceae
Description: bacterial SSU rRNA
Rfam family: Bacterial small subunit ribosomal RNA
Source: RNAcentral